This 70-nucleotide small nucleolar RNA is filed under the name Cephalotus follicularis. RNAcentral's name for it is "Plant small nucleolar RNA R71". It matches the Rfam family "Plant small nucleolar RNA R71". Rfam says of the family: R71 is a member of the C/D box family of snoRNAs containing the C (UGAUGA) and D (CUGA) box motifs. Lineage: Eukaryota; Viridiplantae; Streptophyta; Magnoliopsida; Oxalidales; Cephalotaceae. The record is from Rfam by way of RNAcentral.
ACGGCAUGAUGGGGACAUUUUCUGAUGAGGUCCUUUAAUCUUUCCCAUGCCUCAUGGAACUGUUGACUCU